This 90-nucleotide transfer RNA is filed under the name Pseudomonadota bacterium. RNAcentral describes it as "tRNA-Leu". It matches the Rfam family "tRNA". Rfam says of the family: Transfer RNA (tRNA) molecules are approximately 80 nucleotides in length. Lineage: Bacteria; Pseudomonadati; Pseudomonadota. RNAcentral also lists the same sequence under 3 other names. The record is from RNAcentral.
GCCCGGGUGGCGGAAUUGGUAUACGCAAAGGACUUAAAAUCCUUGGCCUUCAAAAGAGGCUUGUGGGUUCGAGUCCCACCCCGGGCACCA